GCGACCCCAGGAUGGGCGAGGC
RNAcentral lists this ribosomal RNA (22 nucleotides) under Dendrobium densiflorum. RNAcentral's name for it is "partial 26S ribosomal RNA". The record is from RNAcentral. Lineage: Eukaryota; Viridiplantae; Streptophyta; Magnoliopsida; Asparagales; Orchidaceae. RNAcentral also lists the same sequence under 3 other names.